RNAcentral lists this ribosomal RNA (433 nucleotides) under uncultured bacterium. RNAcentral describes it as "partial 16S ribosomal RNA". It matches the Rfam family "Bacterial small subunit ribosomal RNA", at positions 29 to 507 of the family's 1533-position model. The record is from RNAcentral.
AACGAACGCUGGCGGCAUGCCUAACACAUGCAAGUCGAACGAGACCUUCGUGUCUAGUGGCUCACGGGUGCGUAACGCGUGGGAACCUGCCCUUAGGUUCGGAAUAACUCCCCGAAAGGGGUGCUAAUACCGGAUAAUUUCUUCGGACCAAAGAUUUAUCGCCUUUGGAUGGGCCCGCGUUGGAUUAGCUAGUUGGUAGGGUAAAAGCCUACCAAGGCGACGAUCCAUAGCUGGUCUGAGAGGAUGAUCAGCCACACUGGGACUGAGACACGGCCCAGACUCCUACGGGAGGCAGCAGUGGGGAAUAUUGGACAAUGGGCGAAAGCCUGAUCCAGCAAUGCCGCGUGAGUGAUGAAGGCCUUAGGGUUGUAAAGCUCUUUUACCCGGGAUGAUAAUGACAGUACCGGGAGAAUAAGCUCCGGCUAACUCCGUG